Drosophila yakuba is the source of this 1098-nucleotide long non-coding RNA. RefSeq lists it as uncharacterized. Lineage: Eukaryota; Metazoa; Arthropoda; Insecta; Diptera; Drosophilidae. The transcript has 2 exons. The record is from RefSeq and is a predicted model, not a curated record.
UGCUUGUCCACAGCAAUUCAAAGCAGAGAAGGAAACAAAAAUGGAUUACAAUUUUAUGGUGUUCAAAUAUUAUUCCUAUUAACCAAAGGUUUUCAUGUCAUUUACUUUUCACAGGCUUUAUUCCUUUGGGAAUUCUCACACUUAACGCAAAAAUGGCACUAUUAAUUUACCUAAUGAAGGAUUGUACUCUUGAAUGAUAUUCCACUGUAUAUUCAAUGUAGGUCAUAUUCGCAUCAAUUUCAUUUUCGGAAAACCACCAACUACUAAUUACUAAAACGAUUAAGUAGGAGAAACAAACCAAGAUGCUGGCUUAUAAUCGUCGUAAGAAUAACACAAGUAAAAAGCAUGGGGAUCGGGCGAAAUGAAAAUAGAAAACCACAAAAUGAUAUAAUGUCCCAUUGGAUAAGCCCCCACAUUCGCACAAAAAGGAACAGACAGCGAGCUUUAAAACAAUUAAUUAUAAAUUUAUGGGACGAUGUGAAGGGGGGGAGCCAAGAAGAAGGAACAAAAGCAGACAUUUAAAUAACUCGGUAAACAAAAGCCAACUGAAAAGGACGAAGGACAAAAAGGAGUGAAAAUGGAUUUCCAUUUAAGGCGGCAUGUUGAGCACAUUGUUUUUAUUAAGUGUCGCAUGAUAUGUGCGAUAAAUAUAUGUACACAUAUAUGUAUAUGUGUAUCCAAUGGUAAGCCCGCAGUGCCAGUCCAUUCACAUAAACACUUCGAGUGGCAACAUGACGUGCAACUAAUCCGUUGCCGUUGCCCAAAAAAUAUGUUACAAGUGGGCAGGAGUGUCCGGGGGUCGAGUGUCCGUAUCCGGAUUCAGCCGGACACUGGCGCCUAACACCGCAGUGCCCAAUUAAUUAUUUAAGGAUUACAUUCUUAAGUUCAUGCUAUCCACCUUAGAUGUGUAUUGGUGCUCGAAAAGUGCAAACAGCAAUGGCAACAGACUUUAGACCCACUGUGCCAAAGGGGACAUAAUAAAACAGCUGCCGACCCUGCACAAAGAUGAUGACUGCGACUCCUGAUGAUGAUGACCCCUUGACCCCCGCCCCGCCCCGCAUUCUAUAUAAUGCACGCUAAAUACAUAGUUUGAAAAUA